GAUGAACGCUGGCGGCGUGCCUAAUACAUGCAAGUCGAGCGAACAGACGAGGAGCUUGCUCCUCUGACGUUAGCGGCGGACGGGUGAGUAACACGUGGAUAACCUACCUAUAAGACUGGGAUAACUUCGGGAAACCGGAGCUAAUACCGGAUAAUAUAUUGAACCGCAUGGUGCAAUAGUGAAAGACGGCUUUGCUGUCACUUAUAGAUGGAUCCGCGCCGCAUUAGCUAGUUGGUAAGGUAACGGCUUACCAAGGCAACGAUGCGUAGCCGACCUGAGAGUGUGAUCGGCCACACUGGAACUGAGACGCGGCCCAGACUCCUACGGGAGGCAGCAGUAGGGAAUCUUCCGCAAUGGGCGAAAGCCUGACGGAGCAGCGCCGCGUGAGUGAUGAAGGUCCUCGGAUCGUAAAGCUCUGUUAUUAGAGAAAAACAAAUGUGUAAGUAACGGUGCGCGUCUUGACGAUCCCAAGUCAGAAAGCCGCGGCUAUCUGCG
This 495-nucleotide ribosomal RNA is filed under the name uncultured bacterium. RNAcentral describes it as "partial 16S ribosomal RNA". It matches the Rfam family "Bacterial small subunit ribosomal RNA", at positions 28 to 505 of the family's 1533-position model. The record is from RNAcentral.